RNAcentral lists this transfer RNA (20 nucleotides) under Kalotermes sp. MM2013. RNAcentral describes it as "partial tRNA-Met". Lineage: Eukaryota; Metazoa; Arthropoda; Insecta; Blattodea; Kalotermitidae. The record is from RNAcentral.
AGAAAAGUAAGCUAAUAAAA